AAAGAAAUGUAGCCUCUCACAGGAAACAUCCUGAUCAGGCCCACCUGUGAAUGACUGCAGGAAGGAAGAAAUUAACACAUCCCCUCCAGAAGCUGACUGGAACCAGGAAAUGCUUGACUUUAUUCCCUCCCCUUUUAGUAUAAAAGAAGCCAGAAUUCUAACUCAGGCGAGAUGGUUCU
Aethalodelphis obliquidens (Pacific white-sided dolphin) is the source of this 179-nucleotide long non-coding RNA. RefSeq lists it as uncharacterized. The transcript is spliced from 3 exons. The record is from RefSeq and is a predicted model, not a curated record. Lineage: Eukaryota; Metazoa; Chordata; Mammalia; Artiodactyla; Delphinidae.